CGGACGGGUGAGUAAUGUCUGGGAAACUGCCUGAUGGAGGGGGAUAACUACUGGAAACGGUAGCUAAUACCGCAUAACGUCGCAAGACCAAAGAGGGGGACCUUGGGCCUCUUGCCAUCGGAUGUGCCCAGAUGGGAUUAGCUAGUAGGUGGGGUAAAGGCUCACCUAGGCGACGAUCCCUAGCUGGUCUGAGAGGAUGACCAGCCACACUGGAACUGAGCACGGUCCAG
This 230-nucleotide ribosomal RNA is filed under the name uncultured bacterium. RNAcentral describes it as "partial 16S ribosomal RNA". It matches the Rfam family "Bacterial small subunit ribosomal RNA", at positions 99 to 334 of the family's 1533-position model. The record is from RNAcentral.